This is a non-coding RNA of Kogia breviceps (pygmy sperm whale), 1629 nucleotides long. NCBI's taxonomy places the organism in Eukaryota, Metazoa, Chordata, Mammalia, Artiodactyla, Physeteridae. The record is from RefSeq and is a predicted model, not a curated record.
CCGAGCACACCUGUGUAUCACGACGCUGCGUGCCCUGCAGGCACACCUAGUCCGGUGAGGGAAAGGGCAAGGACAGCCCCCAGCAACCAGUGCCACCAGUGGGACAGUUCACAGAGGCCCACCACGUGUGAAAUACCAACAACAGCUACCAGCAAGCUCUUAACUGUCUCCACUGUGUAGCCUUGGAGAAGUUACUUAACUCUCACGGCCUCAGUUUCCUCCUCUGCGAAACGGGUUGCUGUGAGGAUUCAAUAAGAAAUGUGCUUAGGGGAGGCCAGGAGCUGUAUAAACAGCAGGUAAGUAGGAGACUUUACUGCGCCGAGCAGGGCACUCUUUAACCCUCACGACCAGCAUGAUGUGGGGAUCAGUGAUGUUUCCACUUUACAGAGGAGUAAACAGGACAAAGAGGGAACAACUGCUUUUGCCCAGGGACACCGACUGGUAAAGAGUAAACGGUGACACUGGCUUUUGAGCCCCAGCAGUCUAACCCAAAUCUGUGCUCUCAAGCCAGACUGAACCCAAAGGAUGAGGACUGGCCAGAAGGAGGUGUGUGGGUGGUCCCAGCUCUGCCAUUUACUGCCUGGGGGACUUCCAGCAAGUCCCUGGACCUAUGGGAGCCUCAGUGUCCCCAUCUGAAGAAAUGUGACAACUCUUGUCUUCUAAGGUUGUGCUGACAAUAAUGGCCCGAAACUGGGUCACCCAUAGGACUGCUUUCUCCGGUGUUCUAGGCCAUGUUCCCUUUGUCCUGCUGGCCGAGGCGGGGCUGGGUCUCCGAGAGGCUGCUGUCACAAGGAACAUUCCAGAUGUCAUUGGUCUCCUACGGCUCCAGGACUGAUGCGGGAAGUUGGGUGCGACGCACGAAGAAGACCAGAUUGAGGGUUCGGGGCCCACCAACCUGUCACAGAUACUGCCUGGGCCCGAGGGUGAGACUGUAAGCCCUCUGAGGAGAAACAAAGCUGCUGUGAACAUUCGCCGAGAUGCCGGCGCAGGUGUGCCGGUGUCCUGAACAAUUCCAGCACUCGAUCUGAUCCUUACGACAUCAUUUUCCAGGAGGGGAAACUGAGUCUCCGAGAGGUCAAGCGCCACAACCAAGGAACACAGGGCUCUCAGGUUUCCAUAUUAUGUUUUGAGGACCAGUCUUUCUCACCCGUAGAAGAGGAAACAGUCACUUGUUAUUGUGAAAGAAACAAGUGUUUGCAAAGAUCUUAGCUCUGGACCUAGUUCAUACUAAAUCUUCAAAGAAAUAAAGAUGAAAGUAUAUCAGAUAAAAGUGUAACUCACUCAAGCCCCUACCCCAGUUGUAACGCUCACACUCUUUCUGCCUCCCUAAGAGAACAGGGCAGACUGCAAGAGCCCUGCCCACUCCUCCCAGAGGCCAGGAGGGCACAGGGCAGCUGGCAGGUAAACCUUCACCCAUAUGCCGGCCACCCUUUUCCUAGUAGCUCUGACUGCCACUGACUUUUCCACCAGGUGCUACCUAGCCCAGCUGUUGACCACAUGGACAUCUGGAUCCCAGGAAGGGAUCAGCCCACACUCUCUCCCACAUUACUACAGGAUUAAGACACGCCAAGGCACCUGCCCAAGGCCCGUGUGGCCAGGAUGGCUGCCCUGCGGAGUGGGAAGGAAGCU